Molecule: ribosomal RNA, 451 nt
Filed under: uncultured bacterium
Lineage: Bacteria
Description: partial 16S ribosomal RNA
Rfam family: Bacterial small subunit ribosomal RNA
Source: RNAcentral
UAGGGAAUCUUCCACAAUGGACGCAAGUCUGAUGGAGCAACGCCGCGUGAGUGAAGAGGGCUUUCGGGUCGUAAAACUCUGUUAUUGAAGAAGAACGUGUGUGACAGUAACUGGUCAUGCAGUGACGGUAUUCAAUCAGAAAGUCACGGCUAACUACGUGCCAGCAGCCGCGGUAAUACGUAGGUGGCAAGCGUUGUCCGGAUUUAUUGGGCGUAAAGCGAGUGCAGGCGGUCUUUUAAGUCUGAUGUGAAAGCCUUCGGCUUAACCGAAGAAGGGCAUCGGAAACUGGGAGACUUGAGUGCAGAAGAGGAGAGUGGAACUCCAUGUGUAGCGGUGAAAUGCGUAGAUAUAUGGAAGAACACCAGUGGCGAAGGCGGCUCUCUGGUCUGUAACUGACGCUGAGGCUCGAAAGCGUGGGUAGCAAACAGGAUUAGAUACCCUGGUAGUCCAC